RNAcentral lists this ribosomal RNA (751 nucleotides) under uncultured bacterium. Its description in RNAcentral is "bacterial SSU rRNA". It matches the Rfam family "Bacterial small subunit ribosomal RNA", at positions 8 to 796 of the family's 1533-position model. The record is from RNAcentral.
AGAGUUUGAUCCUGGCUCAGAAUCAACGCUGGCGNNNNNUUAACACAUGCAAGUCGGACGGGAAAGUGGGCAACCAUGAGUACAGUGGCGUACGGGUGAGUAACACGUGGGCAAUCUACCUCUUAGUGGGGAAUAACCCUGGGAAACCGGGGCUAAUACCGCAUAAGCUCGAGAGAGGAAAGCAGCAAUGCGCUGAGAGAGGAGCCCGCGGCCGAUUAGCUAGUUGGUGAGGUAAAAGCCCACCAAGGCUGAGAUCGGUAGCCGGCCUGAGAGGGCACACGGCCACACUGGCACUGAAACACGGGCCAGACUCCUACGGGAGGCAGCAGUGGGGAAUCUUGCACAAUGGGGGCAACCCUGAUGCAGCGACGCCGCGUGAGCGAUGAAGCCCUUCGGGGUGUAAAGCUCUUUCGGCAGGGAAGAUUAUGACGGUACCUGCAGAAGCAGCUGCGGCUAACUACGUGCCAGCAGCCGCGGUAAUACGUAGGCAGCGAGCGUUGUUCGGAGUUACUGGGCGUAAAGGGUGUGUAGGCGGCUUUCUAAGUUUGGUGUGAAAUCUCCCGGCUUAACCGGGAGGGUGCGCCGAAUACUGAAAGGCUAGAGUGCGGGAGAGGAGAGUGGAAUUCCUGGUGUAGCGGUGAAAUGCGUAGAUAUCAGGAGGNNNNCCGGGUGUAGACGGCUCUCUGGACCGUAACUGACGCUGAGACACGAAAGCGUGGGUAGCAAACAGGAUUAGAUACCCUAGUAGUCC